This 468-nucleotide ribosomal RNA is filed under the name uncultured bacterium. RNAcentral's name for it is "partial 16S ribosomal RNA". It matches the Rfam family "Bacterial small subunit ribosomal RNA", at positions 28 to 507 of the family's 1533-position model. The record is from RNAcentral.
GACGAACGCUGGCGGCGUGCUUAACACAUGCAAGUCGAACGGAAAGGCCCUGCUUUUGUGGGGUGCUCGAGUGGCGAACGGGUGAGUAUCACGCGAGUAAACUGUCCUUGACUUUGGGAUAACUUCUGGAAACUGGGGCUCAUACCGGAUAGGAGCUUUUGCUGCAUGGUGGGGGUUGGAAAGUUUCGGCGGUGGGGGAUGGACUCGCGGGUUAUCAGCUUGUUGGUGGGGUAGUGGCUUACCAAGGUUUUGAAGGGUAGCCGGCCUGGGAGGGUGACCGGCCACAUUGGGACUGAGAUACGCCCCAGACUCCUACGGUAGGCAACAGUGGGGAGUAUUGCACAAUGGGCGGAAGCCUGAUGCAGCAACGCCGCGUGCGGGAUGACGGCCUUCGGGUUGUAAACCGCUUUCGCCUGUGACGAAGCGUGAGUGACGGUAAUGGGUAAAGAAGCACCGGCUAACUACGUG